AAUCAACGCUGGCGGCGUGCCUAACACAUGCAAGUCGAACGCGAAAGGGGCUUCGGUCCUGAGUAGAGUGGCGGACGGGUGAGUAACACGUGGAUGACCUGCCCUCGAGUGGGGGAUAACUCUUCGAAAGGGGAGCUAAGACCGCAUGAGCUCCCGGGGGCGACUCUGGGAGGAAAGCCUGAGGGUGCUGGAGGAGGGGUCCGCGACCGAUUAGCUGGUUGGUGGGGUAAGGGCCCACCAAGGCGACGAUCGGUAGCCGGUCUGAGAGGACGGACGGCCACACUGGAACUGAGAGACGGUCCAGACUCCUACGGGAGGCAGCGGGGGGGAAUUUUGCGCAAUGGGCGCAAGCCUGACGCAGCAACGCCGCGUGGAGGAUGAAGGUUUUCGGAUUGUAAACUCCUGUCCCGGGGGAAGAAGGCAGUGACGGUACCCUGGGAGGAAGCCCCGGCUAACUCCGUG
RNAcentral lists this ribosomal RNA (462 nucleotides) under uncultured bacterium. RNAcentral's name for it is "bacterial SSU rRNA". It matches the Rfam family "Bacterial small subunit ribosomal RNA", at positions 28 to 507 of the family's 1533-position model. The record is from RNAcentral.